Molecule: transfer RNA, 75 nt
Filed under: Alistipes sp.
Lineage: Bacteria; Pseudomonadati; Bacteroidota; Bacteroidia; Bacteroidales; Rikenellaceae
Also listed under: 2 other names
Description: tRNA-Glu
Rfam family: tRNA
About the family: Transfer RNA (tRNA) molecules are approximately 80 nucleotides in length.
Source: RNAcentral
GCUGUAUUCGUCUAACGGUUAGGACGGUAGAUUCUCAGUCUACAAAUAAGGGUUCGAUUCCCUUAUACAGUACGA